Non-coding RNA from Triticum urartu, 986 nucleotides. Lineage: Eukaryota; Viridiplantae; Streptophyta; Magnoliopsida; Poales; Poaceae. The record is from RefSeq and is a predicted model, not a curated record.
GCAUGUCAACUUUGUUGCUAAUCAUUAUAUUGACCCCAUUCGAAGCUUCGCAUCUCCUAACUGGCAGUGUUGUUUCCGCGUGAUUUGCUUUGGUAUUUCGCUUAAGAAUGCACCUGUGUUCAAGCCUGCUACCGGCGGGCAGGUUCAUAUAUAGCUCCAUUCCGCCUUCAGCGAAGACAAGGGCCAGAUAAGCUCCGUUCACCAUCGUCAAGCAAAGGUUAAGAGCUUCGAACUUAAGCAAGCUGCUUGCGAACCCAAACUUCACCAAGUUAUCUCUGGUCGAUUCUCGGUUUUCGUUCAGAUGGCCGCUGAACUGAUGAACCGUUCCCGUAGCUUGGCCGAAGGAGCUGUGGUCAUGGUAUGCCCUGUGCUUCUAGCAUUGUCUCUUGACAAGGUCGACCUCAAAGUGUAUGGGCGCCCUGCUUUCUUCGCCAUGCUUGCCAUGGCAGGUAUCACUUUAAUAACCGCUAUCUGCCCCUUGCUCGUGUGUUGCUUCACCAAGAGGUUCCCAAACAUGGGUAACAUCGAGCCUGCCCCGGUGACGGCGAGCCUGGCAACCCUCUCAUCUUCUUGCCUCCUCAUCCUCGCCUGCUUCAUGGCGCAGCUCGUUGUCUCCAAACAAGUUUUAAUCGCCGUGGGCGUCCUAUGUGGAGCCUUCAUCCUAGUUCGAGCGGUCUCGUACUGCCUCGGCGGAAAUGGUGACCCGUAUUCACCGGAUCUGCACAAGGUACUGGAUUAAUCACAUGAGUUCUUGACGGGCGUCACUGGAAUCCUCUUUCUGGGGCUUGAAGGUUUGGCACUAGAAGGUCAUGAGAAUCAGAUGGUUCUGAAGGUCGUGCUUGUGGGCACCAUCAGCUUCAUAGUUUGCGCUCUUGGUGUGUGCAUGAUGUACCUCGAGAUGAUCCCCCCUUUAUACUUCAAGGAAAGGGGAGAGGGAGAGAUUGUGUGUUUAACUCUGACGCUCGACAGCAUCAUGGCUGGUGGUA